RNAcentral lists this transfer RNA (70 nucleotides) under Eupsophus emiliopugini. Its description in RNAcentral is "tRNA-Trp". It matches the Rfam family "tRNA". From Rfam's summary of the family: Transfer RNA (tRNA) molecules are approximately 80 nucleotides in length. The record is from RNAcentral. Lineage: Eukaryota; Metazoa; Chordata; Amphibia; Anura; Alsodidae.
AGAAACUUAGGAUAAUUUAGACCAAAAGCCUUCAAAGCUUUCAGUAGAAGUUAAAAUCUUCUAGUUUCUG